GGGUAGAUCUCCCACCCUUGAAUAUUAUACCUUCGUUGCUUUGGCAGGCCGUGGAAACACCAGAGGCUCCGGCUGAUGCGUGCCUGCCAGAGGAAACAAACUCUUGUUUAGUGAUGUCUGAGUACUAUAUAAUAGUUAAAACUUUCAACAACGGAUCUCUUGGUUCUGGCAUCGAUGAAGAACGCAGCGAAAUGCGAUAAGUAAUGUGAAUUGCAGAAUUCAGUGAAUCAUCGAAUCUUUGAACGCACAUUGCGCCCCUUGGUAUUCCGAGGGGCAUGCCUGUUCGAGCGUCAUUAUGACCACUCAAGCCUAGCUUGGUAUUGGGGUUCGCGGUUCCGCGGCCUCUAAAAUCAGUGGCGGUGCCGUCUGGCUUCAAGCGUAGUAAUUUUCUCGCUACGGAGUCCGGGCGGUUGCUUGCCAAAACUCCCCCAACUUCUCACGGUUGACCUCGGAUCAGGUAGGGAUACCCGCUGAACUUAAGCAUAUCAAUA
RNAcentral lists this ribosomal RNA (491 nucleotides) under uncultured Helotiales. Its description in RNAcentral is "eukaryotic LSU rRNA". The stretch from base 140 to 293 matches the Rfam family "5.8S ribosomal RNA". Lineage: Eukaryota; Fungi; Ascomycota; Leotiomycetes; Helotiales. The record is from RNAcentral.